This 253-nucleotide ribosomal RNA is filed under the name uncultured bacterium. Its description in RNAcentral is "partial 16S ribosomal RNA". It matches the Rfam family "Bacterial small subunit ribosomal RNA", at positions 524 to 776 of the family's 1533-position model. The record is from RNAcentral.
UACGGGGGGGGCAAGCGUUGUUCGGAAUUACUGGGCGUAAAGGGCUUGUAGGUGGCCAACUAAGUCAGACGUGAAAUCCCUCGGCUUAACCGAGGAACUGCCUGUCAGACUGGAAGGCUUGAGACCGGGAGAGGUGAGUGGAAUUCCCAGUGUAGCGGUGAAAUGCGUAGAUAUUGGGAGGAACACCAGUGGCGAAGGCGGCUCACUGGACCGGAACUGACGCUGAGGCGCGAAAGCGUGGGGAGCAAACAGG